GAUCCCACAAUUCACGCAAAAGGGACUGAUAUCAAUCUGAACCAAAUAUUCAAAUCUUCUUCUCCUCCAUCUAUUUCAAAUCAUAACAGAUCCAAAAUAGACUAUCACCUUUGCUAAUACAUGAUGGAUAUAUUGAUUUUGUUGAGAUAUUCAGAAAUUUGGGUGAUCUCUGAGUUAUAAACGAUAUAAUAAUGAUAGAAUAGUGGUUGAACAAACAAUUUCUUUCGCGGAUCUCAAAUACGCCAUGCAUUACAACUUAAUUGAAUCUCAAAUCUGUCAUUGAUGCAACAAACAAGAUGACUAGAGAGGCGCAUUGCUUUGAUGCUACAUUCAGUGAAAUUGUUUGUCUUGAAGUUGGGGAAGACAACACCCAAGAGUUUAUCUUGUAUUGUCCGAAAAAAUGGAUCUGCUUAUUCAAUGCUUAAAGUAUUGAAGUAAGUAUACUAUCUUAUUCUUAAGUUGUGAAUUAAUAUUUUUUUUAAAAUUUUUGAUACAUAAGUCGUGAUACAUUGUUAUUCCUGGAAGAAAACACGUUGUUAGCCUUGAGUGAAAAAUAUGUAAUUGUAGGAGAUUUUAACUAGACGAAGUAUCUGUGCACACACAUUUCUUCUUUGAUACUUGUGAAAUUUCGAUUAGACGGAAUAUCUUGUACCAUGAUACAAUACUGACUACAAAAUGGAUACAGUUUUGGUUUGAUA
This is a long non-coding RNA of Solanum lycopersicum (tomato), 698 nucleotides long. RefSeq lists it as uncharacterized. NCBI's taxonomy places the organism in Eukaryota, Viridiplantae, Streptophyta, Magnoliopsida, Solanales, Solanaceae. The record is from RefSeq and is a predicted model, not a curated record.